This 301-nucleotide ribosomal RNA is filed under the name uncultured bacterium. RNAcentral's name for it is "partial 16S ribosomal RNA". It matches the Rfam family "Bacterial small subunit ribosomal RNA", at positions 509 to 807 of the family's 1533-position model. The record is from RNAcentral.
CAGUCGCCGCGGUAAUACGAAGGGUGCAAGCGUUGUUCGGAUUUACUGGGCGUAAAGCGCACGUAGGCGGAUCGAUCAGUCAGGGGUGAAAUCCCAGAGCUCAACUCUGGAACUGCCUUUGAUACUGUCGAUCUGGAGUAUGGAAGAGGUGAGUGGAAUUCCGAGUGUAGAGGUGAAAUUCGUAGAGAUCUGGAGGAAUACCGGUGGCGAAGGCGGCCCCCUGGACAAAGACUGACGCUCAGGUGCGAAAGCGUGGGGAGCAAACAGGAUUAGAUACCCGUGUAGUCCCUGUCUCUUAUAC